AACGAACGCUGGCGGCAUGCCUAACACAUGCAAGUCGAACGAGACCUUCGGGUCUAGUGGCGCACGGGUGCGUAACGCGUGGGAACCUGCCCUUAGGUUCGGAAUAACUCCCCGAAAGGGGUGCUAAUACCGGAUAAUGUCUUCGGACCAAAGAUUUAUCGCCUUUGGAUGGGCCCGCGUUGGAUUAGCUAGUUGGUAGGGUAAAAGCCUACCAAGGCGACGAUCCAUAGCUGGUCUGAGAGGAUGAUCAGCCACACUGGGACUGAGACACGGCCCAGACUCCUACGGGAGGCAGCAGUGGGGAAUAUUGGACAAUGGGCGAAAGCCUGAUCCAGCAGUGCGGCGUGAGUGAUGAAGGCCUUAGGAUUGUAAAGCUCUGUUACCCGGGAUGAUAAUGACAGUAACGGGAGAAUAAGCUCCGGCUAACUCCGUG
RNAcentral lists this ribosomal RNA (433 nucleotides) under uncultured bacterium. RNAcentral's name for it is "partial 16S ribosomal RNA". It matches the Rfam family "Bacterial small subunit ribosomal RNA", at positions 29 to 507 of the family's 1533-position model. The record is from RNAcentral.